This 253-nucleotide ribosomal RNA is filed under the name uncultured bacterium. Its description in RNAcentral is "partial 16S ribosomal RNA". It matches the Rfam family "Bacterial small subunit ribosomal RNA", at positions 524 to 776 of the family's 1533-position model. The record is from RNAcentral.
UACGGAGGGUGCAAGCGUUAUCCGGAUUCACUGGGUUUAAAGGGUGCGUAGGCGGACAUGUAAGUCAGUGGUGAAAUCUCUGGGCUUAACCCAGAAACUGCCGUUGAUACUAUUUGUCUUGAAUAUCCUUGAGGUAGGCGGAAUAUGUCAUGUAGCGGUGAAAUGCUUAGAUAUGACAUAGAACACCGGUAGCGAAGGCAGCUUACUACAGGAUGAUUGACGCUGAGGCACGAAAGCGUGGGGAGCAAACAGG